This is an RNA transcript of Lycium barbarum (goji berry), 7212 nucleotides long. RefSeq lists it as uncharacterized. NCBI's taxonomy places the organism in Eukaryota, Viridiplantae, Streptophyta, Magnoliopsida, Solanales, Solanaceae. The transcript is spliced from 9 exons. The record is from RefSeq and is a predicted model, not a curated record.
ACCCUUUCCUACUUUUCAUAACUUAGAAUCCCUAGAAAAUACACUUUCUCUCUUUUUAUUUUCUUGGAGAAUUGCCGCUCAGCCUUCUUCUCUGGCAAAGCAACGCCAGAGCUCUGGUGAACUAAAGUAACCAACAAGGACGAACAGACCACUGCUCGUCCCCUCUCCUCCGCCUGUUUCUUCUUCUUUUGGUUUGAUCUCUGAUGAUAGCUGGAGAAAAAUUCAUAUCCGGCCGGUAUUCACUAGAAUCCAAUCACGCAUCACCACUACUCUGCGUUUCACCACUUUUUUCCGCUUGCUCCAUGGUUUUUGGCCGGAGUUUUUCGCUGAAAUUUCAUCGGCCAUAUAGUUCAUUGUUUGUUGGUCAUAGUUGUUUCCAGAUUUGCAAACGACCCCUACCCCGCCAUUAUUUUCCGGUUUCUGCUCACAUCUCCUCUUCUUUAUCUCCUCCACCCCUUAGAUCAUCACACCUCGUGAAUCUCACCGGAAACACACUUAAAACUUUCAGAUCUAACUUUCCCUCUUUUCAUUUUCUUGGAGAACAACUGACUCAACCUUCUUUUCAGGCCAAACAACGCCGGAGCUUCGACGAACUAAAGUAACCAACGACGAUGCACAAAUAAAUGCUCGUCCCCUCUCCUCUGCCUCUUCAUUUUCUUUUGCUCGAAUCUCCGAUGCUAGCUGGAGAAAAUUUUAGAUAUGGCCGGUAUUCACUAGAAUCCGGUCACGCACCACCACUGCUCCGCGUUUCACCACUAAUUUCCCCCUUGCUCAGUGUUUUUGGUCGGAGUUUUCGCUGAAAUUUCAUCGGCUUAUGAUUCUUUGUUUGUUUGUCAUAGUCGUUUUCCAGAUCUGGAAACGACCCCUCCCCCGCCAUCAUUUUCCAAUCAAACACAGAUCAAAAUCUCUACUCACGCCGUCUUUUCUUUAUUUCCUCUGUCCCUCACAUCGUCACACUGACGUGAAUCUCACCGGAUAUACACUUAAAACUUUCAGAUCUAAUUUUCUCUUUUUUUCAUUUUCUUGGAGAAUAGCUCAUUCAUCCUUUUUCUCCGGCAAAGCAACGCCGGAGCUUCAACGAACUAAAGUAAUCAAUGAAGACGCAUAAACCAUUGCGUGUCCCCUCUCCUAUGCCUCUUUCUUCUGUGUUUGCUUGAAUUUCCGAUGAUAGCCGAAGAAAAUUUCAGAUCUGUUCGAUAUUCGCCAGAAUCAGGUCACACACCACCAUUGCUCCGCGUUUCACUAUUGUUUUUCCCUUUGCUCCGUGUUUUUGGCCGGAGUUUUUCGUUGAAAUUUUGUCGGCUGUAUUGUUCUUUGGUGACCCCUCCCACGCCAUUAUUUUCCAAUCAAACAAAAAUCGGAAUUUCCACUCACAUCCUCUUUUAUUUAUCUCCUCUGCCCCUCACGUCAUUACACCGCCAUGAAUCUCACCAGAACACACUAAAACUUUCAGAUCUAACUGAAAAAUUAACCAGAUAUGAAAGUCAUUGCCGGAGAGUAUAUUUUUUUCCGUCCAAAUUUGUCGUCAUUUAUACAUUUGCUUGACAAAUAUAUCCAUGAUUACUUGAUUAAAAAGGGGAUGAUUAAGACUGCUGAGACAUUUGCUAGCGAAGCUAAUUUUAUUAAUCCCAUGGAUGUUGUUAUCAAAUCUCCGGAGGGAUUUCUUGCGGAAUAGUGGAAUGUAUUUUUUGAUAUACAUCUCGAGAAUGCUCAAGAAUCCUAUGUUGAGGCUGCACUGACAAUGGACAAUGUGCUACCUUACAUCCCUUCUGCUGUGGCAACAUCUUUUCCUCAUUCUGCUAGACCAGCACAUAAUAUAUCUCCUGUGGCACCGACCUUUAGUCCCGAGAGAUUGCAAGAGAAAUGCCAUCUUUUAACACCUGACGAUGAAGUGACAUCUAAGUCUUUUGAGACGGAUCUUCCGAGUCAGAGGGUGACAUUUUUAACCGAUUCUAGGUUGUUGCAGACAUUAUAUAAAUCAGUUCUUUUAAAAUUGCACGCUAUCUCUUUUUACUUCUUGUUUUGCAAAGGAUAUUACCUGACCGGCGGUGUAGGUUCUACGGAUUUCUAGGAAGAAAUCCACAUUGUAUAGUUAUUUAUCCGUAGGAUGGAAGCACCAGUAUAAUGAUUUGACUGAUAAUUCAUUGAACGAUCACAAUUAGAAAAAUCACAAAUUGAUUCUUGGACAAGGUCCUGACUCACUUUAGAAAGGGAGGACUAUCAAUGACAUAAAGAGUGUGGAUUUAAAAGGUCGGAACGAGUGGUCUCAAACUUCAAACAAAAUAGGAAACGCAGGGUAGAACACCAAACGUAUGGGGUCAUCAAAUCCUUAUUCUCAUGGACUCCACACCAAGUAUAAGAAACUAGAAUUGGAUGUACUUCAAUUGAUAUAGCAUGUUAUAAUUACAUAGAGGAUAUGACAUUUACCGAUUUCAUUUAUAUGAAGUCGGUUUCAAAGAAGCUGAUAUGCCUAGAGUUUAAAUUACAAUUGUGGAACAUAUUGUGCUCGCAACUACUCUUCAUAGAGUUGGCGUAGAAGCGGGAAACGAAACUAAUUCGAAAUUGUGUUUUAGCUUCUGCAUUUCUGAUGAAGAUUGAAUGUGGAUUGUCAUUUCUGCUACUAAUUGUUUUCCAUUGUAAAAGUGGGUAUUUUGCAAAUUAUUCAAGUGGAGUGACAAGCUUCUAGCAGUAGAGGAGAAGGAAGCCACCAAAAUUGCUAGGCCAAAUGAUGACACAAACCACACAAUUCAAGGUAAUUAGUUUUGAGGCACUCUUUGAAUUGCUUGAUCAGCUAGCAACUUUGAUGGAGAUAAUGAAAAGCUGUUGAUCAAGAAAUAAGGCUCUUCUUGCAGGCUCAGAGAAAACAAACGACUUAACUGAUGAUAAGGGGCCUUGUAGCUGUGAUUUGCAUCCUCUGCUUGAAACUGAUCAAGGCACCAACUCUUGUUCACAAUUGCUUAAUUAGAUUUGGAGCUUUGACAGAGCGCUUACAUACUUUUUGCCUCAGCAUGACCAGGGAACUAUUGUUCCCGCUCAACAUGUUGACAGAAAUACAGUUUCUAGUCGACAGAAAGAGAGAAACGAUGUGGUUAGAAAUAAGCGCAAGCGUGAUUCACAUUCACUGCUUGCAUCUGAUCAAAACUUUAUGAUGCCGAAUGCAAAAUCUCAACCUACUAGGCUUCCUUCUCCUCUGCCCGAAAAUACUUGUUCAGGGACACAUAAACCUAACAAUGGUGUUGUUACUGCAAGUAACAGUCUUAACUGGACUUGAUAGAAAAACACAGACAUCGUUCCCUUUUUCCCCACUCCUCACCUUCUCAAAUAUUUCAUGUAAAAUAAGACAAAAGGAAGAACCUCCCAAAUCGAAAACAAAAACAAUAACCAAAAUAUUCUCCGUAAUAUUUUGUAUUUGUAACCGAUGACUUUCAUGAAAUUGGAUUAAGGGAAACUAAAAAGGGGGAAUUGAUCCACUUUGCCACCAUCAUCCAACCACAACCUACGCUAGUCGUCAUAUAAACUUGAUGUAUGUGUUGGUUACAGUCACAAAAUUGCACCUUCAAUGUAACACUCAUGUUCAUUAUUGUAGAGAUACUAAAACAGCGUGUCACAUAAUGCAAACAUGUGAUGUUAGUGCUUAUGUGUCCCUGUACAAGUAUUUUCGGGUAGAGGAGAAGGAAGCCUAGUAGGAUGAGAUUUUGCGUUCGACAUCAUAAAGUCUUGAUCAGAUGCAAGCAGUGAAUGUGAAUCAUGCUUGCUCUUAUUUCCAACUACAUUGUUUGUUGCUUUCUGUCCAUCAGUAAUUGUACUUCUCUCAACAUGUUGAGAGGGAACAAUAGUUCCCUGGUCAUGCUGGGACAAAGAGUAUGUAACCGCUUUGUCAAAGCUCCAAAUCUGAUCAAGCAAUUGUGAACGAGUUGGGGCCUUGAUCAGUUUCAGGCAGAGGAUGCAAAUCACAGCUAGGAGGCCCCUUAUCAUCAGUUAAGUCGUUUCUUUCUCUGGGCCUGUAAGAAGAGCAUAUUUCCUGAUUAGUAGCUUUACAUUAUCUCCAUCAAAGUUGUUAGCUGAUCGAGCAAUUCAAAGAGUGCCUCAAAACUAAUUACCUUGAAUUGUGUGGUCCGUGUCAUCAUUUGGUCUAGCAAAUUUUGUGGCUUCCUUUUCCUCUGCUGCCAAGAGCUUGUCACUCCACUUGAAUAACUUGCAACAUACCCACUUUUACAACAGGAAACAAUUAGUACCAGAAAGGACAAUCCAUAUUUAAUCUCCAUUAGAAAUGCAGAAGCUAAAACACAAUUUCAAAUAAGUUUCUUUUCCCACUUCUGCGCCAACUCAGUGAAGAGUAGUUGCUAGCACAAUAUGUUCCACAAUUGUAAUUUAAAAUCCGGCAACAUCAGUUUCUUGGAAACUGACUUCAUAUAAAUGAAAUAGCUAAAUGUCAUAUCCGCUAUGUAAUUAUAACAAGAUAUAUCAAUUGAAGUACAUCCAAUUCUAGUUUCUUAUACUUGGUGUGGAGUCCAUAAGAAUAAGAAUUUGAUGACCCCAUACCUUUGGUGUUGUACCCUGCAUUUCCUAUUUUCUUUGAAGUUUGAGACCACUUGUUCUGACUUUUUAAGUCCACACUCUUUAUGUCACUAAUAGUCCUCCCUUUCUAGAGUGAGAGCCAUGACCUUGUCCAAUAAUCAAUUUGUAAUUUUCCUAAUUGUGAUAGUUCAGCGGAUUAUCUGUCAAAUCAUUUUACAAGUGCUUCCAUCUUCUGGAAAAAUAACAAUUCAAUGUGGAUGUCAUCCUAGAUAUCCACAUAAUAUAUACCACAGUCAGGUGAUUCCUUUGUAACACAAGAAGAAACAAAGAGAGAGCUAGGUAAUUUGAAAUUGGCAAAUGCUUCAACUUUGAGUAAUUUAUUCUCCCACGAGUGAAUAAAUGUGGUUAUUAAGAGCUUAAAAUUGAUCAUCCUCCUCUGUCCCUUUGGCAUCUCAUUAUCCUUUGAUUCUAAACAUGGUAACUAAAAAUAUGCUCUUUUUUGCUAUGUGGCUUGGACUCUCCAAAAAUGUGUUGGGUGUGCGAACAAAGUACCACAUUGGUAGCUAGAAAAAAAGAGCUACUUAUAAGGAGUUGGAUACUCUAAAUGAUGUGAGGCCUUUUGGGAAAAACCGUGCUGGCUUGGCCCAAAGCGGAUAAUAUCACAUCAUGUUAAGAGUAUCUUUGGACCGUUUUAGCCCAACAACUGGUAUCAGAGCCAAUGGUUUAGCGAGACGAGUAUGAAGAUGGCAAAGUGUGGCGUGGGACCCGGCUUAGUGCCUUUGCCUGUUUAUGGGCCGAUUUACAACCUUUACCAGUAUCUUUGAAGACGCAUACACAACCUUUGGGCUUCGGUGACCGUAAAUACUCUGACAGUGUGAGUGGCACAAAGACAUGUUGAAUCUCUGAUCCGUGGUAUGAUAAUGAGCCAUGUGGAACUUAGUUCGAGGGGGAGAUUAUUGGGUAUGUGAACAAAGUACCACAUUGGUAGCUGGAAAGAAAAAACAGCUACUUAUAAGGAGUUGGAUACUCUAAAUGAUAUGAGGCCUUUUGGAAAAACCGUGCGGGCUUGGCCCAAAGCGGACAAUAUCACAUCAUGUUACAAUGUGGGUGGCACACAGACAUGUUGAAUCUCUGAUCCGUGGUAUGAUAAUGAGCCAUGUGGAACUUAGUUCGAGGGGGAGAUUGUUGGGUGUGCGAACAAAGUACCACAUUGGUAGCUGGAAAGAAAAAAUAGCUACUUAUAAGGAGUUGGAUACUCUAAAUGAUGUGAGGCCUUUUGGGAAAAACCGUACGGACUUGGCCCAAAGCGGACAAUAUCACAUCAUGUUAUGAGUAUCUUUGGACCGUUUUAGCCCAACAAAAUGCACUACUUUUGGAGGAUCUGACCCAUACCUGGUGGCAUUUAUAUGUUCUUUAAGCGGUUUCUUCUUUAUUUCUUGUUUUAAUUCCUUGAUUUUUCUUUAUAUUGUAUCUCCAGGGGAAAUAAAGUUGUCCAAAAAGUAUCUAAUCAAUCAAUUAUGGUUGUUAGCUGUAAGUUCCCUGCAUUUUUCACAUCAAUAGAAAGAUUCAGCUAUGACUAAAAUUUAUGCAUAUUUAGGUUCAUUUCUUUGUAGUUCAUUCUGUUAUUUUUUUCUUCUCAGGAAGUUACCUCUGUUUAUGCUGCCAUUCACUAGUAAUUGUUUACUAGUACCAAAUCAAAAGAACAACUGUCAUAAGCUGAAUCGUUAUCACAUUAUCUGGGCUUUACUUGAUAAGCUGAUAGUUUCUGCCCCUCCAAGUUUGGUGAUUUUAACAAUGAUAUAUAUGCUUAUUCUUUCCGACUUAAGUGGAAAUAAUGCAGAAGUAACUGGAAUACUCAUAAGUAAUCAUUUUUUCUUGAUGAUCGCAACAAAGCACUUAUUUUGGUUUUCAUAUUGAGCAUGAAUUCAUUUUCAGAAAAUUUGAAAUCUUUGUGCAACUCCUUGUGUGGAUUAUCGUUAUUUAAGUAAGAAACUAAGAUUAAUACUUUAAUCUAAUAUCUAAGAGUUUUAUGCUGGAAAAGGUUAAGACUCAUCAAGUAAAUAUUUGCAAAGAGUUUCAUCUUAGGGAUUGGUGAUGGCGGCUGCCUCAUGUGGUUAUGGGGACAGAUCAGGAAACAUACGUUGGUGGGAUGUUACUACUGGACAGUCGUCCCAUUUAAUACCCAUAGGGAAGGGAUCUGUAGAAUCAAGUUCUCAUCAGUUGUACUGGAGAUUGUAGAUGUUGGCGAAUUGCCAUUUUGUUUUAUGAUAACACAUUCUCGGUGUUUGAUCUGGGCUCACCCGAUCCAUUAGCCAAUUCACUUUUACAACUUCUGUUUCCUGGAACUCUUGUGUUGGAGCUCGAUUGGUUACCUUUGCGAUCAGGCAUCUCUUUGAUUUUUAGCCCUCAUUCUACAAGAAGCAAGAUACUGUGUUUCCACUUUCAUCACAAGGGAUGUGUGUUGGCUGAUGCUGGGCAUGAGAAGAAAAGAGCAAGUGUGUUGGCUGAUGGCACCAUGUGAUUCAACUUAUUCGUUUCAAAGAAUAGUAAAUUUGAUGUCACUUCAUCGUCGGGUGUCAUAAGAUGACAUUGCGCUUGCACUCUCUCAGCUAAAAAAUUCAAUUUAGGUUUCCCUUGCAUCACUUGAACACUUGAUCUAAUUGGAAACUGUAUAAACAUGGGUUGGUUAUCUCC